UAGUAACUGCGAGUGAAGCGGGAAAAGCUCAAAUUUAAAAUCUGGCAGCCUUCGGUUGUCCGAGUUGUAGUCUGGAGAAGCGUUUUCCGCGCUGGACCGUGUACAAGUCUCCUGGAACGGAGCGUCAUAGAGGGUGAGAAUCCCGUCUUUGACACGGACUACCAGUGCUUUGUGAUGCGCUCUCAAAGAGUCGAGUUGUUUGGGAAUGCAGCUCAAAAUGGGUGGUAAACUCCAUCUAAAGCUAAAUAUUGGCGAGAGACCGAUAGCGAACAAGUACCGUGAGGGAAAGAUGAAAAGCACUUUGGAAAGAGAGUUAAACAGUACGUGAAAUUGCUGAAAGGGAAACGCUUGAAGUCAGUCGCGUUUGCUAGAACUCAGCCUGGCUUCGGCUUGGUGCAUUUUCUAGUGAACGGGCCAGCAUCACUUUUGGUUGCGGGAUAAAGGUCGCAGAAAUGUGGCACCCUCGGGUGUGUUAUAGUCUGUGGCUGUAUACCGUGGCUGGGAGUGAGGAACUCAGCACGCGCAAGCUGUGCUUAGGAUGCUGGCGUAAUGGCUUUAAACGACCCGUCUUGAAACACGGACCAAGGAGUCUAACAUGCCUGCGAGUGUUUGGGUGGAAAACCCGAGCGCGUAAUGAAAGUGAAAGUUGGGAUCUCUGUCGU
Molecule: ribosomal RNA, 662 nt
Filed under: Hyphodermella rosae
Lineage: Eukaryota; Fungi; Basidiomycota; Agaricomycetes; Polyporales; Phanerochaetaceae
Description: eukaryotic LSU rRNA
Rfam family: Eukaryotic large subunit ribosomal RNA
Source: RNAcentral